RNAcentral lists this ribosomal RNA (976 nucleotides) under Vibrio harveyi. RNAcentral's name for it is "bacterial SSU rRNA". It matches the Rfam family "Bacterial small subunit ribosomal RNA", at positions 75 to 1038 of the family's 1533-position model. The record is from RNAcentral. Lineage: Bacteria; Pseudomonadati; Pseudomonadota; Gammaproteobacteria; Vibrionales; Vibrionaceae.
GGGAACGAUAACGGCGUCGAGCGGCGGACGGGUGAGUAAUGCCUAGGAAAUUGCCCUGAUGUGGGGGAUAACCAUUGGAAACGAUGGCUAAUACCGCAUAAUACCUACGGGUCAAAGAGGGGGACCUUCGGGCCUCUCGCGUCAGGAUAUGCCUAGGUGGGAUUAGCUAGUUGGUGAGGUAAUGGCUCACCAAGGCGACGAUCCCUAGCUGGUCUGAGAGGAUGAUCAGCCACACUGGAACUGAGACACGGUCCAGACUCCUACGGGAGGCAGCAGUGGGGAAUAUUGCACAAUGGGCGCAAGCCUGAUGCAGCCAUGCCGCGUGUGUGAAGAAGGCCUUCGGGUUGUAAAGCACUUUCAGUCGUGAGGAAGGUAGUGUAGUUAAUAGCUGCAUUAUUUGACGUUAGCGACAGAAGAAGCACCGGCUAACUCCGUGCCAGCAGCCGCGGUAAUACGGAGGGUGCGAGCGUUAAUCGGAAUUACUGGGCGUAAAGCGCAUGCAGGUGGUUUGUUAAAGUCAGAUGUGAAAAGCCCCGGGGGCUCAACCUCGGAAUAGCAUUUGAAAACUGGCCAGACUAGAGUACUGUAGAGGGGGGUAGAAUUUUCAGGUGUAGCGGUGAAAUGCGUAGAGAUUCUGAAGGAAUACCGGUGGCGAAGGCGGCCCCCCUGGACAGAUACUGACACUCAGAUGCGAAAGCGUGGGGAGCAAACAGGAUUAGAUACCCUGGUAGUCCACGCCGUAAACGAUGUCUACUUGGAGGUUGUGGCCUUGAGCCGUGGCUUUCGGAGCUAACGCGUUAAGUAGACCGCCUGGGGAGUACGGUCGCAAGAUUAAAACUCAAAUGAAUUGACGGGGGCCCGCACAAGCGGUGGAGCAUGUGGUUUAAUUCGAUGCAACGCGAAGAACCUUACCUACUCUUGACAUCCAGAGAACUUUCCAGAGAUGGAUUGGUGCCUUCGGGAACUCUGAGACAGG